RNAcentral lists this unclassified non-coding RNA (331 nucleotides) under Chytridiomycota sp. RNAcentral's name for it is "partial contains small subunit ribosomal RNA, internal transcribed spacer 1, and 5.8S ribosomal RNA". The stretch from base 1 to 47 matches the Rfam family "Eukaryotic small subunit ribosomal RNA", at positions 1785 to 1831 of the family's 1831-position model. The record is from RNAcentral. Lineage: Eukaryota; Fungi; Chytridiomycota.
AAAGUCGUAACAAGGUAACCGUAGGUGAACCUGCGGUUGGAUCAUUAAUAAAAUAAAAAUUGUUUUACCCGUUGUUAAUUCAAUGCGUGUAAAAAGAUCUUUACCCUUAAAAAAGGUAAUUUUCCACCCCAAUUUUUUGUGAACUUGUAGCCUUAAAAAAAUAAUUUGAUGAAAUGGAAAUGAUUUUGGGUUUGGGAACUAGCGUCCUAAACCCAAGUUUCUUCCUUUUUUGAAAAAUUUAUGAAAUGCCAUAACACUGAAUGAACUUGUCUUUACCAUUUUUAAUAAAAAAAAUUAUAAACAACUUUUGACAACGGAUCUCUAGGCUCUC